RNAcentral lists this ribosomal RNA (363 nucleotides) under Salmonella enterica. RNAcentral's name for it is "partial 23S ribosomal RNA". It matches the Rfam family "Bacterial large subunit ribosomal RNA", at positions 890 to 1251 of the family's 2925-position model. Lineage: Bacteria; Pseudomonadati; Pseudomonadota; Gammaproteobacteria; Enterobacterales; Enterobacteriaceae. The record is from RNAcentral. RNAcentral also lists the same sequence under 3 other names.
UCAUCUCCGGGGGUAGAGCACUGUUUCGGCUAGGGGGCCAUCCCGGCUUACCAACCCGAUGCAAACUGCGAAUACCGGAGAAUGUUAUCACGGGAGACACACGGCGGGUGCUAACGUCCGUCGUGAAGAGGGAAACAACCCAGACCGCCAGCUAAGGUCCCAAAGUCAUGGUUAAGUGGGAAACGAUGUGGGAAGGCCCAGACAGCCAGGAUGUUGGCUUAGAAGCAGCCAUCAUUUAAAGAAAGCGUAAUAGCUCACUGGUCGAGUCGGCCUGCGCGGAAGAUGUAACGGGGCUAAACCAUGCACCGAAGCUGCGGCAGCGACACUGUGUGUUGUUGGGUAGGGGAGCGUUCUGUAAGCCUG